RNAcentral lists this long non-coding RNA (211 nucleotides) under Homo sapiens (human). RNAcentral describes it as "non-protein coding lnc-IL12RB2-5:1". The record is from RNAcentral. Lineage: Eukaryota; Metazoa; Chordata; Mammalia; Primates; Hominidae.
AUCAAAAAGUUUGACUCGUGGUCUGCUGUCAUUAUUAGAUGAUGUAGCACCCACGUAGACUGACAAAGUCACAUUUCUAACUUAGAAACAGUCUACCUCUUACUUUAGCUUUAAGGUGUACAUUUGGCUUAAAUUAGAGCUCUGAGCAUUUUCUUGAAGCUGAUUUUGAAUUUAUUAAAGAGUGUUUAAACCUUGAGAUGGUGAUGGGUGA